GAUCAGCCAAUAAAGUUAAGAACGCUUCAGGUAGCGUUUUAUGCUCUUUUUUUCUGUCCAACUAGUUUGUUUAACGGUGAGUCGUUGUUAAUAGGUGACGUUUCAGUCAGUUCUCUGUGACUUAUCUAAGUUAAAGAAGUUAAAUAAAGUGCAGCGCUAGCGUGCUGUUUGACUGCAGGACUCGGCUUCGGCUAAACGCAGCGGUUAAAUGUGUUUUUAUUAUUAUUGUUUUCUUUUCAAAUUUAUUUUUGUAUCGAGCUGCAUUGUUGUAAACAAAUCUGCCUGUUUAUGCUUAUUUCUUUCACUCUCUAAGUCGGUUCCUAAGUAAGUUCUCACCGCUGCUGUGAGGCUAGUUUUUGUUAGCGCCUCGGUGGGAAUUUUUAAUGUCAGGAAUCACAGCCAAGUUAGCGGUGGUGAAGCAUUGUGUUAAUGAAAGCUUUAGAUUUACAGUAACUCAUUCAGUAAAACUCUGAACUUUAGGUGUGUGUGUGUGUUACAGGAGCAAGUUAGAGCUGACAUUUCUGCCAAAGCGGGGUCAUGUAUGCCUGUAUGCAUGCAGUAACGGAGCGUGUCCACUAGGGGGCAGUGUGGCAUUGAACUACACCAGAUUCAUUCAUCCAUUCAGUGAAAACCGAGAAUAUAACAAGAUGGCAUUUAAGUUACAGUUACAGUCAACUCAUUCAACCUUAUAACAGAAGCUUAGACACAACAUAACAUUAACCAGGGGAUUAAAAAUAAUAAUAAUAGAAAAAAGACACCUGGAAAAGUUGGAAAAGUUACUUAGUGACCUUAUCCUUACUUAGUGACCUUAUUAUACAACCACAUCAGUGAGUAAAAUGUAUCACAGGGGUAUUAACAAAAUGUUUUAUAAUAAAUUAUAUGUAUCAAAUAAUAUUACUAAACUAGAAUGUACAGAUAAAAAUCAAGCUGUGUCCCAAAUGAUGCACUUUACACGAUGCACUAUGUACUCUACCAUCUAGUGUAUGAAUUUUAGAAGGGUAGUAUCAUCUCAAAUGUUUUUACUAACCGCAAAUAUACGACGUUUUCCAGUCGAUGGCAAAUGACGUCAAACGCAGCCUGCUACCCAGAGUCGAUUUUUCAGAAAUUGAUAUGCUAAGAGUAUUGUACUAGUGAGACAGGUAUUUAAGAGCAAUGGCCAACUUUUUAAUUAUUGUGACUUUCUUAAUCACUGUAAGAUUCCUGUAACUGCUGAGCAAUUUGCAAAAAACGUUAGUAUUUGAUGCUAGUCCUGGUGACCUUAUUCAGCAUAAAUAUCCUCUGGGUGUAUGUCCCCAACAUAUGAUACUUUUACAUAAAAAAAAUUAAACAACUUUUUUUUAUAUCAGUCAGUCUGAUUGCUACAGUUUGUAAUCAUUUUAGUUUUUUUGUUGUUGUUUUCAUGAGGUGGAAUUACGUAAAUCCACAAUUAAAAACGAUUGCUUUAUUUAAAAAAAAAAAAAAUCCAUAGUCAACAAAAAUGACUAUGAAAUGAAAAAUUCAUUUUACUGCUUAUGUCAGUGUUACCUUUUAUGCAGAACAUGACCUCAGUCACCAUCAGACGGAGACAUAAUCGUCUCGGCAGGUGAAUUUUGCUCACAUGAUCCAAAAUCAACAUAGUAAGCUGUGGCUGUAGCUAUGGCUGCUGGCAAUGUAAACUUUCAAGGAGCAUACUUUCUGUUUAAAUAUUUUGUAAAUAUUUUGUAUUUACUGAAGUUUUCACACUCCUUUUUUUUUUUUUUAUUCUGAGCAAACUUAAGCCAAACAAUAACAGACCCAAUUUCAGUCAUAACUUAAGAAAUUUGACAAAAUUUGUUUUGAUGGUGUCAGAGAUCAGCCUCUGCCCUGAUUUUCACCUGUCUGACAUUCAACUGUUUAAUGACAGCUCUGGGAGAAGUGUGUGACCAUGGCUGGGGUCCUGUGUGGAGACACUUAUGUUCCUGUUUUGGCUGGCAAGUGCUACAUCUUAUCAUGUUGUCAUCUGGGCUUUUGCCAUUUCCUGCUCUACUGUACACAGAGCCAUCCAUAAUGUGAGCAGGAAAUGCUUGGCAUCAUGAGAAGAGUCAUCUCGCUUCCCUCUGCUGACGACCUGCCUGCAGUGGGCAAUGGACUUGCCAGGCCGGCUGGGUCCGCUGUAUUUAAUAAGGUGGUGGGCAGCAUUGAUGGAUGCCAUCUCUCCCAGCCAAUUAAACUGAUGACUCCUUACAGACACCCUCUUCACUGACUACUGACUGGUUUAACCCGUGGCUUCAACACAAGCAGUGCAGCAUUUAUUGAUGUGCAAGAGACAGACAAAAUAAGGGCUGUUGUUCUAAAUCUGUCCAGCAGAGUCAUCCCAGUGCUUGAGCAGCUUAGGAAAAGCCUGCUGCUGUGACCUCCUGAGGAUUUUAAAAAAGAGUCACCCAGAACUGUUUGAUAGGUAGACACAGCUUUUAUUCUGCAGGUGUGCCACCUGGUCUUCAGUGAGAAAGCAUCUCUGAAAUACAGCAUGGAAAUAAGACGUCCUACAGGAAAUUGAGGAGCAUGGUUCUAGCCAUAUGUAAAAUAACACAGUGUUACCUGUCACACUAACCUCUUUUCAGUCUUUUAUUUUGUAAUGAUAAGGUGAACAUGGAGAAGUUGCUUGUGAUGGGGUGUGAAGGAAAUUCAACACUGCAGUUCCUUUUGCAGUUCCUCCAGUCUUUUUAUUUACACUGUGUAAACAACAUUCCAUGUGACAACUUUGCUUUUUGUUGCAGUAAGUUAAUAUUAACAAAACAUUUCUUCUCUAGCUAUUAUUUUGGUUACUAUCAGCAGGCCUCUUUUAUCACUCUUUUAGUAAAGUUGUGUGUAAAUAUUUUUGUAGGCCAAAGCGAACUAAAACUUGCCAUCAAAUCUGCCAACUUAUGUACCGCUGACUUUUCUUCAUACUCUUGUAGGUAUGUUGAUAAAUGCCAAUAUCUUUGCAUUUAAGGCUUUGUAUAAAUCUUUAUAGUUUUCUUGUUUCUCAGUCCAUACUGUGUUU
Pangasianodon hypophthalmus (striped catfish) is the source of this 3001-nucleotide long non-coding RNA. RefSeq lists it as uncharacterized. NCBI's taxonomy places the organism in Eukaryota, Metazoa, Chordata, Actinopteri, Siluriformes, Pangasiidae. The record is from RefSeq and is a predicted model, not a curated record. The transcript is spliced from 4 exons.